Molecule: ribosomal RNA, 409 nt
Filed under: uncultured bacterium
Lineage: Bacteria
Description: bacterial SSU rRNA
Rfam family: Bacterial small subunit ribosomal RNA
Source: RNAcentral
GUGGGGAAUAUUGCACAAUGGGGGAAACCCUGAUGCAGCAACGCCGCGUGAAGGAAGAAGUAUUUCGGUAUGUAAACUUCUAUCGACAGGGAAGAAACAAAUGACGGUACCUGAAUAAGAAGCACCGGCUAAAUACGUGCCAGCAGCCGCGGUAAUACGUAUGGUGCAAGCGUUAUCCGGAUUUACUGGGUGUAAAGGGUGAGUAGGCGGUCAUGCAAGUCAUAUGUGAAAUGUCAGGGCUUAACCUUGGCGCUGCAUAAGAAACUGUAUGACUAGAGUGCAGGAGAGGUAAGCGGAAUUCCUAGUGUAGCGGUGAAAUGCGUAGAUAUUAGGAAGAACACCGGUGGCGAAGGCGGCUUACUGGACUGUUACUGACGCUGAGUCACGAAAGCGUGGGGAGCAAACAGGA